Nycticebus coucang (slow loris) is the source of this 108-nucleotide small nuclear RNA. Lineage: Eukaryota; Metazoa; Chordata; Mammalia; Primates; Lorisidae. The record is from RefSeq and is a predicted model, not a curated record.
GGCUUGAGAGUAAAUGAGACUUAUACUAAAAGUGGAACCAUACAGAGAAGAUUAGCAUGGUCCCUGCACAAGGAUGACAGGCAAAUUUGUGAUGUGCUCCAUAUUUUU